RNAcentral lists this ribosomal RNA (502 nucleotides) under uncultured bacterium. RNAcentral describes it as "partial 16S ribosomal RNA". It matches the Rfam family "Bacterial small subunit ribosomal RNA", at positions 29 to 523 of the family's 1533-position model. The record is from RNAcentral.
AUUGAACGCUGGCGGCAUGCUUUACACAUGCAAGUCGAACGGCAGCACGGGUGCUUGCACCUGGUGGCGAGUGGCGAACGGGUGAGUAAUGCACCGGAACGUAUCCAAUAAUGGGGGAUAACGCACCGAAAGGUGUGCUAAUACCGCAUACGCCCUGAGGGGGAAAGCGGGGGACCGAAAGGCCUCGCGUUACUGGAGCGGCCGAUGCCGGAUUAGCUAGUUGGUGAGGUAAAGGCUCACCAAGGCGACGAUCCGUAGCUGGUCUGAGAGGACGACCAGCCACACUGGGACUGGGACACGGCCCAGACUCCUACGGGAGGCAGCAGUGGGGAAUUUUGGACAAUGGGCGCAAGCCUGAUCCAGCCAUGCCGCGUGAGUGAAGAAGGCCUUCGGGUUGUAAAGCUCUUUCGCAAGGAAAGAAAACUCAUCUCCUAAUACGAGGUGAGGAUGACGGUACCUUGAUAAGAAGCACCGGCUAACUACGUGCCAGCAGCCGCGGUAA